Molecule: long non-coding RNA, 3064 nt
Organism: Siniperca chuatsi (mandarin fish)
Lineage: Eukaryota; Metazoa; Chordata; Actinopteri; Centrarchiformes; Sinipercidae
Exons: 2
Source: RefSeq, a predicted model, not a curated record
GUCUCGGAGCAGCAAUGCGGUCUCUCCGUUUGUCUCUGUACAUGGAGCCCUGAGGACAACUGCAUGGGCAUUUCCGGGGGAACUGCUGGCUGUUUGCUCAUCCUGCAGUCCUGCUCUGUGCCACACACAUCUGCCCUGAAGUCUCACCUCGCCACAGCCUUCUGCAUUGUCUGAAUUGAUGAUGGGGACAGCUGGCUGUGAGCCCCGGAGCAUGUGACUGCCAUUUGAAGACUGCUUGCUGAAGCACUCCCGCGGCAGAUAGAAAUCACCACAGACGAACUGUGCUGAUCAGGCUGAAGAUCGCAAUGAUACUUCGCUCUGACAGAGCUCAUUUUGUUACAGGAAAAAACAGCUUUGCGCUGCUUGUGCACAGUAGAUGAUUCAGUUUCUAUUAUCUGUACUUUUCCUGCCUGCAUCCUGGUUACAAAACACCAUAGCUAACCGAGACUCCAUCUGUGACAUACCACGUGUCUGAGAUAUGAUUCAGAAUGACAGUACAGUGGAUCUCACAUUGUGCCGCAUCCAGCAUCCCUGAGAGUGGGAUCUAUCUGAGCAUGUGUGACUCACCCUCUCCAGCACAGUGCAUUGGCAUCAGUUUGUGUCAGCUGUUGGUUAGCAGGCAUAAGUGUCUGUCAGCUGGCUGCUAGCAGGUGUUUUAGGCACCUCGUAGGCUCUGUGGAGAGGAAAUCAAUGGCUUUCUGUUGAUUAGAGGCCCCUCUGACAGGGAUCAAUCAGGCUUAUACCACCACAAAGUAACAACAUUAAAGCAGAACGCUGCUUCACUCUGCCUCCACUGCUCAAACAAGCUUUCAUGCUGCUCUGACAUAUCAGCCAUAAUGAGCCAUAAGGAAGAAUCUGGACAUUCUGCUUUGUUCCUACACUGUUCCUCACUCAUGCUGGCACAGUAAACAACCUUCAGUUCUCCAGCUGUCUCCAAUUAACUCUAUGUAUGAUUAAGCAACUCUCUACAAACUUUCUUUCUGAUUUCUGUGUUCCCAUUGGUGGGAAUUACAUAAGAGAUGCGAGGAUGCACACAUAGCCAGGCCCCAUUGCUUACAAAGUCCAGCCCAAAAUAGCCAGUGUGGCAGGCUAAUACAAAGCAACUCUCAGCUUCGGUUAUUUUGGACUGUAAUGAUAUGUCAGAGGAAACAAGGAAAACACAUUAGACCGCGAUGUUAAGGCAAACACAUUUUAGCUUGACUGUUUCACAAGAAAUCCCCAGGGAGGCCAGAGAUGUUGCCUUGGGUUCCUGCAGUAGUGAAUAAUUUACACAGCCAGAAUUAGACCUGUUAGAAAGGCACAUGUCUGAAUGUGGGUGGUUCCUUGAGAUCUUACAGGACCAUUUCAUGCCCUGCAUGAAAUAUGUAGAUACCCUGAUUCAGUGGACUCAGAGGGGAGUGAAAUGCAGCAGCGGUGAAUCUGAAGACUCAGUGGGAGAUGCACCCAGUCUUCCCUUAAUUCCAAAUGAACCCUGAUUAAGUCCUCAACAAAUUAAACCACUCAAUCCUCUCCUUCCAACUUUACUACCCCAGACAUAAUUUACAGUUGUGGCGGUCCAUAUAGGGUGCACGCCACCGCGUGUUUUCGUGAGGAUUUAGAUGCGGCCAAGUGAAGUAUUUAGAUGCUUUUUUGGCUCAACGGGGAACUGAAGAAGCCACAUUGGCGUAGCUUUGAUUCCUGGUGGAUCAGACUAGAUUAUAUUCAGCGGAUUGUUAGGCUUUUCCAGGGUACACUAGAGUUAGAGGAACUCUAGUGUCCUCAUGUAGCUGAUAGUGCAUGUUGUAAAGGUGGCAAAUGUUUGCAAAAGAUAUGACUUCAUGAUCACUCCCUGAAGAAACUUUGACCAAAUGAGGCUUGAAGACUAGAAUAAAAUAGAAUAGAAUAACCAUUUGAAUGUAAUUUUCCUAUGCUUAUUUAGCAAAUUAUGUUUAUUUUGGCUGCACAAAAAAAGAACAUUCCAAUCCACUCCAAGUAACACUCAUAAACAAAUUCAUGCACAAGCCAAACCAUUUGGGAGCGGUAUCCAUGGUAACCCACACUGAGCAGGAGCAAAAGAGAUUGAAUUGAUUUCAAAGGGAAUGAAGUAAAGUGCUGAUGGGAGUCUUCCAUGGAGACUAUAAAAAUCUACGUCACGAGGAUAAGAUGCUUGUAAACCUUCAACAAUCUGCAAACGCACCACAGGAGGGAUUCAGCAGUGCAGCUUCAUAUCGACAGUACGUUUAGUGGAAACAUACAAUGUGGAUGUCUCUUAUGUCCGGGAUUAUCUCCAGCAGAGAUUGACAAUUAAAAGUUAACACAAGGUUUACCAUAAGGAGACCCCCUCUGGCAGCCUCAUGGUGAAUAUAACACAGGAAGAAAGACCUCAUGUGGGCAUAUUCUCAGAUCCUCCUUUCAGUACAUGUAGGUCAAAGUAAGAAUAGUGUAGAUAUUAUUCACAGCUGCACUGAGCAAACACAAACUCCUCUGUCCUGGUCUCUGGAGUCACAGUAAGACAUCCCAUGGUGAGUCUUAAUUAAAUCUUUAUUCUACACUCCUCUCUCAUCCUUCAUCAUCUACCAUUUUGGCUAAGGAAUCACUCAUGUGUGCAAGUUUAUUAAAGGGGAAACGCAUUUGGAACGAAGAGACGGGCCUCUUGCUGGGUGCAGUUUCUUUCCGAGGGCUCCUGGCGGUGUGAAUUAUUUGUGGUGCAUUGUCACUAUGAUAUUGUUAUGUAACAACAUAGAAACAGAAUGCAGUUAUAUUACAGUUAGAGCAAAACUUGCAAAUCAGAUUUUCAAGCACUGAUUGAGGUCAGCAGGAGGUUUUAUAAUGCAGUGCUGUCAUUAAGGUUCCGCUAUUCAAGAUUGGACAGACAACAAAUCUUUUGUGCCACGGUUUGGAAGAAUCAAUGAGGUCCUUCUAAAUGUGGAUAUCUCUCACUGUCCAUCCCACAGCAGUACAAUGCAAAGCAGUACUGAGUUGCACUAAUUGUGCAAGGCUGUAGGCCUUGUAUAAUAGCUGUAACAGCCACUCUUUCCCAAUCAAAGACUACCAUCUGAUUGCUGAAUAAAACAACUGAAUUGUG